Molecule: ribosomal RNA, 253 nt
Filed under: uncultured bacterium
Lineage: Bacteria
Description: partial 16S ribosomal RNA
Rfam family: Bacterial small subunit ribosomal RNA
Source: RNAcentral
GACGAAGGGGGCUAGCGUUGUUCGGAAUUACUGGGCGUAAAGCGCGUGUAGGCGGUUGUCCAAGUUGGAUGUGAAAGCCUUGAGCUUAACUCAAGAAAUGCAUUCAGGACUGGAUGGCUAGAGGACCGGAGAGGAUAGUGGAAUUCCCAGUGUAGUGGUGAAAUACGUAGAGAUUGGGAAGAACACCAGUGGCGAAGGCGGCUCACUGGACCGGUAUUGACGCUGAGGUGCGAAAGCGUGGGGAGCAAACAGG